UGUAAGCCCCAAGAGGCAGAGGCUCACCUUCCUUAUUCACUGAUGCUAGCAACAGUGCCUGCUACAAAACAGUACACAGAAAAGGAAUGGAUAAACGAGCAAGUGAAGUGUCUUGAGUUCCAGGUUGACUCCUGCAGACCUGCCUCUUUCUCUUUACCUUGACAUCCUGCUCUGGGCUGGAGUUCCGAGUCCCAUGCUCCACCCAAACACUGGCCCUACCCCCUCUGGGGCUUGGCCCACUCACCGGAUGGGGAAGCCAGCAGCACUGAUAUGAAUGGUCUCCACAAGGCCACAGGCCUCCAGCUGGCUGAGGACCUGCAUGGGUGAGGAGACAGGGUAGGCACCUGUGGUGGGGAGACAGCAGGCCAGAAAUACCACUCCUCUGCCCUCUGAGGCUCUGGUCCGUGUGAACCUACAGGCUGUCCUGAUGCUUGACUGAUGAGGGUAUACUCUCCCUGCUUCUGAUACUGCGGAGGCAAUGGAGUAAAUCAUAGCUGAGGAGGAGGUUAUAUUGUAAGAAUUCAUUGGGACCUGAGUGGAGAGAUCCUGGCCAUAAACCCUAAGGCCAGUUGACUAUGGGACUCUCUCCAGCAUCCAGCACUCAUGCCUCUUCUACACCAGAGCCCAGUACCCUGAACAAAGGGCAGCUGCUGGCCAUCAACUGUUUUUGUGCAAAUCAGAAAAACUCUACCCCUGGUCAGAAGCAGCCACACCGUGCACCGACUACAUGCAAGGUGAUGAAGACCCUUCAGCCAAUCACCUAAUCUUCGGGGCAGCUUUAGUCUCAUAAGGGCACAUGGACUGGUAAGCAGAGUGUAAGACGCAGUGGAGGCUUCCUGGCUAGCUCACUGUGCCGUGCAUAGACCGAAAGACCAUACAUGACUGUCCUGCCAAAGCAGGGGCACAAGAUGCCCUAAUGUCAAACUCAACCCAAGAGACUUGCUCUGGUCACUCCA
This is a long non-coding RNA of Suricata suricatta (meerkat), 956 nucleotides long. RefSeq lists it as uncharacterized. The transcript is spliced from 2 exons. Lineage: Eukaryota; Metazoa; Chordata; Mammalia; Carnivora; Herpestidae. The record is from RefSeq and is a predicted model, not a curated record.